UGCGCCCUUACGGCAGGCCUAACACAUGCAGUCGAGCGGUAACAGAUCCAGCUUGCUGGAUGCUGACGAGCGGCGGACGGGUGAGUAAUGCAUAGGAAUCUACCCAGUAGAGGGGGAUAACCUGGGGAAACCCAGGCUAAUACCGCAUACGUCCUACGGGAGAAAGGGGGCUUUGGCUCCCGCUAUCGGAUGAGCCUAUGCCGGAUUAGCUGGUUGGUGAGGUAACGGCUCACCAAGGCGACGAUCCGUAGCUGGUCUGAGAGGAUGAUCAGCCACAUCGGGACUGAGACACGGCCCGAACUCCUACGGGAGGCAGCAGUGGGGAAUAUUGGACAAUGGGGGCAACCCUGAUCCAGCCAUGCCGCGUGUGUGAAGAAGGCCCUCGGGUUGUAAAGCACUUUCAGCGAGGAAGAACGCCUGGUGGUUAAUACCCGCCAGGAAAGACAUCACUCGCAGAAGAAGCACCGGCUAACUCCGUGCCAGCAGCCGCGGUAAUACGGAGGGUGCAAGCGUUAAUCGGAAUUACUGGGCGUAAAGCGCGCGUAGGUGGCUUGAUAAGCCGGUUGUGAAAGCCCCGGGCUCAACCUGGGAACGGCAUCCGGAACUAUCAGGCUAGAGUGCAGGAGAGGAAGGUAGAAUUCCCGGUGUAGCGGUGAAAUGCGUAGAGAUCGGGAGGAAUACCAGUGGCGAAGGCGGCCUUCUGGACUGACACUGACACUGAGGUGCGAAAGCGUGGGUAGCAAACAGGAUUAGAUACCCUGGUAGUCCACGCCGUAAACGAUGUCGACCAGCCGUUGGGUGCCUAGCGCACUUUGUGGCGAAGUUAACGCGAUAAGUCGACCGCCCUGGGGAGUACGGCCGCAAGGUUAAAACUCAAAUGAAUUGACGGGGGCCCGCACAAGCGGUGGAGCAUGUGGUUUAAUUCGAUUGCAACGCGAAGAACCUUACCUACCCUUGACAUCCUGCGAACUUUGUUAGAGAUACUUUGGUGCCUUUCGGGAGCGCAGAAACAGGUGCUGCAUGGCUGUCUCCAGCUCGUGUGUU
Molecule: ribosomal RNA, 1044 nt
Filed under: Halomonas sp. HL48
Lineage: Bacteria; Pseudomonadati; Pseudomonadota; Gammaproteobacteria; Oceanospirillales; Halomonadaceae
Description: bacterial SSU rRNA
Rfam family: Bacterial small subunit ribosomal RNA
Source: RNAcentral